This 502-nucleotide ribosomal RNA is filed under the name uncultured bacterium. RNAcentral describes it as "bacterial SSU rRNA". It matches the Rfam family "Bacterial small subunit ribosomal RNA", at positions 28 to 528 of the family's 1533-position model. The record is from RNAcentral.
GAUGAACGCUGGCGGCGUGCUUAACACAUGCAAGUCGAACGAAGCAAUGCGACGGAAGCCUUCGGGUGGAAGAUGUAUUGACUGAGUGGCGGACGGGUGAGUAACGCGUGGGUAACCUGCCUUACACAGGGGGAUAACAGUUAGAAAUGACUGCUAAUACCGCAUAACCCGCUAGUACCGCAUGGUACAGACGGAAAAGAUUUAUCGGUGUAAGAUGGACCCGCGUCUGAUUAGCUAGUUGGUAGGGUAACGGCCUACCAAGGCGACGAUCAGUAGCCGGCUUGAGAGAGUGAUCGGCCACAUUGGGACUGAGACACGGCCCAAAACUCCUACGGGAGGCAGCAGUGGGGAAUAUUGCACAAUGGGGGAAACCCUGAUGCAGCAACGCCGCGUGAGUGAAGAAGUAUUUCGGUAUGUAAAAGCUCUAUCAGCAGGGAGAAAAAUGACGGUAACCUGACUAAGAAGCCCCGGCUAACUACGUGCCAGCAGCCGCGGUAAAAGU